This 66-nucleotide transfer RNA is filed under the name Reticunassa festiva. Its description in RNAcentral is "Nassarius festivus tRNA-His". It matches the Rfam family "tRNA". From Rfam's summary of the family: Transfer RNA (tRNA) molecules are approximately 80 nucleotides in length. Lineage: Eukaryota; Metazoa; Mollusca; Gastropoda; Neogastropoda; Nassariidae. The record is from RNAcentral.
GUCAAGUUAGUUUAAACUAAAACAUCAGCCUGUGGAUUUGAAAAUGAAAAUUUAUUUCACUUGACC